UGAACGCUAGCUACAGGCUUAACACAUGCAAGUCAGGGGCAGCAUGAUCUUAGCUUGCUAAGAUUGAUGGCGACCGGCGCACGGGUGAGUAACGCGUAUCCAACUUCCCCUUAGUAGAGGAUAGCCCGGCGAAAGUCGGAUUAAUACUCUAUGUUGUAUUUUGAGGACAUCUGACGAAUACCAAAGAUUCAUCGCUAAGGGAUGGGGAUGCGUCUGAUUAGCUUGUUGGCGGGGUAACGGCCCACCAAGGCGACGAUCAGUAGGGGUUCUGAGAGGAAGGUCCCCCACAUUGGUACUGAGACACGGACCAAACUCCUACGGGAGGCAGCAGUGAGGAAUAUUGGUCAAUGGGCGAGAGCCUGAACCAGCCAAGUAGCGUGCAGGAAGACUGCCCUAUGGGUUGUAAACUGCUUUUAUGCGGGAAUAAAGUGCACCACGUGUGGUGUUUUGUAUGUACCGCAUGAAUAAGGACCGGCUAAUUCCGUGCC
This 488-nucleotide ribosomal RNA is filed under the name uncultured bacterium. RNAcentral's name for it is "bacterial SSU rRNA". It matches the Rfam family "Bacterial small subunit ribosomal RNA", at positions 30 to 509 of the family's 1533-position model. The record is from RNAcentral.